RNAcentral lists this ribosomal RNA (1497 nucleotides) under bacterium. RNAcentral describes it as "partial 23S ribosomal RNA". It matches the Rfam family "Bacterial large subunit ribosomal RNA", at positions 1 to 1517 of the family's 2925-position model. The record is from RNAcentral.
AAUUAAGUUAUUAAGGGCAUAGAGUGGAUGCCUUGGUGCUAGAAGGCGAUGAAAGACGUGAUAAGCUGCGAUAAGCUUCGGUUAGGUGCAAACAACCUUUAACCCGGAGAUUUCUGAAUGGGGUAACCUGAUACGAUUGAAUCGUAUCGUUCCUUCCUGAAUAAAAUAAGGAAGGAUACGCAAGACCUGCUGAAUUGAAACAUCUUAGUAAGCAGAGGAAAAGAAAGAGAAUUCGAUUCCGUAAGUAGCGGCGAGCGAAAACGGACCAGCCCAAACCGGCAUCUUUGAUGUCGGGGUUGUAGGACCCCGCUGUGGGACCUUUGAAGAUAGGUGAACACUUUGGAAAGAGUGGACAAAGAGCGUGACAUCCGCGUAACCGAAAUCUGAAAAGGCCCUAGGGAGUUCCUGAGUAGCACGGGACACGUGAAACCCCGUGUGAAUCUGCGCAGACCACUGCGUAAGGCUAAAUACUAACUAGCGACCGAUAGUGAACCAGUACCGUGAGGGAAAGGUGAAAAGUACCCCUGUGAGGGGAGUGAAAUAGAACCUGAAACCCUAUGCCUACAAGGUGUUAGAGCCCUUUCGAGGGUGAUAGCGUGCCUUUUGCUUAAUGAGUCUGCGAGUUACCGUCUGUGGCAAGCUUAAGAUCUUCUGGAUCGUAGGCGUAGCGAAAGCAAGUCCGAAUAGGGCGACCCUAGUUGCAGGCGGUAGACCCGAAACGGAGGUGACCUACCCAUGGCCAGGUUGAAGCUUAGGUGAUACUAAGUGGAGGACCGAACCGGUGUGUGUUGAAAAACGCUCGGAUGAGCUGUGGGUCGGAGUGAAAGGCUAAUCAAACCCCGUGAUAGCUGGUUCUCCUCGAAAUGCAUUUAGGUGCAGCGUUGCGUGUUGAUGAGUGGGGGUAGAGCACUGACAGGGCUAGGGGGCAUACCCGCCUACCAACCCCUAUCAAACUCCGAAUACCAUUCAAUAGAGCGCAGCAGUGAGACGGCGGGGGAUAAGCUUCGUCGUCGAGAGGGAAACAGCCCAGAUCAGCAGCUAAGGUGCCUAAAUUGUGCUCAGUGGAAAGGAGGUGAGGUUUCAUAGACAGUGAGGAUGUUGGCUUAGAAGCAGCCACCAUUUAAAAAAUGCGUAAUAGCUUACUCAUCGAGAGACCUUGCGCCGAAAAUACUUGGCGAUAAGCACAAUACCGAAGCUCUGGGUGUCCUAGUUUACUAGGGCGCGGUAGAGGAGCAUUCUCUGUGCAGUGAAGGGUGAUGGCGACUGACCCUGGAGCGCAGAGAAGUGAGAAUGCAGACAUGAGUAACGAUAAGAGCGGUGAAAUCCCGCUCCGCCGUAAAUCCAAGGUUUCCCGGGCAACGUUUUUCGUCCCGGGGUUAGUCGGGACCUAACCCGAGGCCGAUGGGCGUAGGGGAUGGUAAGCAGGUUAAUAUUCCUGCACCCAGUAAGGAGGACGCAUAAUGAAAAGCUACUAGGUUAUUGAAUUCCGAGGCGAGG